Molecule: ribosomal RNA, 465 nt
Filed under: Vreelandella stevensii
Lineage: Bacteria; Pseudomonadati; Pseudomonadota; Gammaproteobacteria; Oceanospirillales; Halomonadaceae
Description: partial 16S ribosomal RNA
Rfam family: Bacterial small subunit ribosomal RNA
Source: RNAcentral
CCUACGGGUGGCUGCAGUGGGGAAUAUUGGACAAUGGGCGAAAGCCUGAUCCAGCCAUGCCGCGUGUGUGAAGAAGGCCUUCGGGUUGUAAAGCACUUUCAGUGGGGAAGAAAGCCUUGGGGCUAAUACCCUCGAGGAAGGACAUCACCCACAGAAGAAGCACCGGCUAACUCCGUGCCAGCAGCCGCGGUAAUACGGAGGGUGCGAGCGUUAAUCGGAAUUACUGGGCGUAAAGCGCGCGUAGGCGGUCUGAUAAGCCGGUUGUGAAAGCCCCGGGCUCAACCUGGGAACGGCAUCCGGAACUGUCAGGCUAGAGUACAGGAGAGGAAGGUAGAAUUCCCGGUGUAGCGGUGAAAUGCGUAGAGAUCGGGAGGAAUACCAGUGGCGAAGGCGGCCUUCUGGACUGACACUGACGCUGAGGUGCGAAAGCGUGGGUAGCAAACAGGAUUAGAUACCCCAGUAGUC